UUGCGAUAAGUAAUGUGAAUUGCAGAAUUCAGUGAAUCAUCGAAUCUUUGAACGCAUCUUGCGCUCUUUGGUAUUCCGAAGAGCAUGCCUGUUUGAGUGUCAUGAAACUCUCACCUCCAGCCUUCUUUAAUUAGAGGUGUUGGGGCGUGGACGUGAGUGCUGCUGGUGCCCUAGUUGCAUCGGCUCACUUGAAAUACAUUAGCUGAAUCCUCUAGAGGUGGUUCUACUCGACGUGAUAAGAUCUCCGUCGAGGACAGUGCAACUUGUUGUGCUGGCCGCCGCUAGCUGUUGAUACGCUUCUAAUUAGCGCAGACUUCGAGUGCUGGCAACUUUUGACAACUUGGCCUCAAAUCAGGUAGGACUACCCACUGAACUUAA
Molecule: unclassified non-coding RNA, 378 nt
Filed under: uncultured Cystofilobasidium
Lineage: Eukaryota; Fungi; Basidiomycota; Tremellomycetes; Cystofilobasidiales; Cystofilobasidiaceae
Description: partial contains 5.8S ribosomal RNA, internal transcribed spacer 2, and large subunit ribosomal RNA
Rfam family: 5.8S ribosomal RNA (bases 1-102)
Source: RNAcentral